UACGAAGGGGGCUAGCGUUGCUCGGAAUCGCUGGGCGUAAAGGGUGCGUAGGCGGGUCUUUAAGUGAGGGGUGAAAUCCUGGAGCUCAACUCCAGAACUGCCUUUGAUACUGAAGAUCUUGAGUUCGGGAGAGGUGAGUGGAACUGCGAGUGUAGAGGUGAAAUUCGUAGAUAUUCGCAAGAACACCAGUGGCGAAGGCGGCUCACUGGCCCGAUACUGACGCUGAGGCACGAAAGCGUGGGGAGCAAACAGG
This 253-nucleotide ribosomal RNA is filed under the name uncultured bacterium. Its description in RNAcentral is "partial 16S ribosomal RNA". It matches the Rfam family "Bacterial small subunit ribosomal RNA", at positions 524 to 776 of the family's 1533-position model. The record is from RNAcentral.